This 343-nucleotide ribosomal RNA is filed under the name Salmonella enterica subsp. enterica serovar Schwarzengrund. Its description in RNAcentral is "partial 23S ribosomal RNA". It matches the Rfam family "Bacterial large subunit ribosomal RNA", at positions 1 to 371 of the family's 2925-position model. The record is from RNAcentral. Lineage: Bacteria; Pseudomonadati; Pseudomonadota; Gammaproteobacteria; Enterobacterales; Enterobacteriaceae.
GGGUUGUGAGGUUAAGCGACUAAGCGUACACGGUGGAUGCCCUGGCAGUCAGAGGCGAUGAAGGGCGUGCUAAUCUGCGAUAAGCGCCGGUAAGGUGAUAUGAACCGUUAUAACCGGCGAUACCCGAAUGGGGAAAUCCAGUGUGACUCGUCACACUAUCAUCAACUGAAUCCAUAGGUUAAUGAGGCGAACCGGGGGAACUGAAACAUCUAAGUACCCCGAGGAAAAGAAAUCAACCGAGAUCCCCCCAGUAGUGGCGAGCGAACGGUGAGGAGCCCAGAGCCUGAAUCAGCAUAUGUGUCAGUGGAAGCGUCUGGUAAGGCGCGCGAUACAGGGUGACAGC